RNAcentral lists this ribosomal RNA (676 nucleotides) under Cryptonemia seminervis. Its description in RNAcentral is "eukaryotic LSU rRNA". It matches the Rfam family "Eukaryotic large subunit ribosomal RNA", at positions 382 to 1141 of the family's 3401-position model. Lineage: Eukaryota; Rhodophyta; Florideophyceae; Halymeniales; Halymeniaceae. The record is from RNAcentral.
AGAGGGUAAAAGAACCUGAACCGUUACGGGGGAAGCGGAUUGCGUUAGCCUGGUGGCUACCUGUGUGUUCAGCCUUUAUGGUGCAUUGAUGCAGGUGGUUAUCUGUCGUGGCUUUUCGGUGGCUGAUAUUGAGUUGCUGAAGGGUGAGGGCUCCCCUUUUGGGUGAGGACGACGGAGUGAUGACGCGAUACGACCCGUCUUGAAACACGGACCAAGGAGUCUAGCGCGGGUGCGAGUCAGAGGGUUGUAAACCCGUGGGCGAAGUGAAAGCAAGUUUUUUUUACAAAACGAGCAGUUUGGGGCGGCAUAGAAUCGUUGAUUCUAGGUCUGACCUUGAGCAGUUGCGCUGGGACCCGAAAGAUGGUGAACUAUGCCGGAGUAGGGCGAAGCCAGAAGAAAUUCUGGUGGAGGCUCGUAGCGGUGCUGACGUGCAAAUCGCUCGUCGAACUUGGGUAUAGGGGCGAAAGACUAAUCGAACCAUCUAGUAGCUGGUUUCCUCCGAAGUUUCUCUCAGGAUAGCAGGCCGACACGAGUUGUUUUGUGCGGUAAAGCGAAUGAUUAGCGCAUUCGGGGGCGUUUAGCCUUCGGGCGAUUCUCAAACUUUAAAUGCGCAAGGGUACCGGUGCUUUGUUGAGCGGUACCGUUAAAAACGUCGGCCUUGUGGGCCACUUUUGGU